RNAcentral lists this ribosomal RNA (334 nucleotides) under uncultured Pseudomonadota bacterium. RNAcentral describes it as "bacterial SSU rRNA". It matches the Rfam family "Bacterial small subunit ribosomal RNA", at positions 29 to 351 of the family's 1533-position model. The record is from RNAcentral. Lineage: Bacteria; Pseudomonadati; Pseudomonadota.
AACGAACGUUAGCGGCGCGCUUAAUACAUGCAAGUCGUGCGAGAAAGGGCUUCGGCCCGUACAGCGGCGCACGGGUGAGUAACACGUAGGUCAUCUCCCCUCGAGUGGUGGAUAACCCUCCGAAAGGAGGGCUAAUACAGCAUGAGACCACGGCUUCGUUGAAGCUGUGGCCAAAGUAGGCCUCUCCACGGAAGCUUACGCUUGAGGAUGAGCCUGCGGCCCAUCAGCUAGUUGGUAGGGUAAUGGCCUACCAAGGCUAAGACGGGUAGCUGGUCUGAGAGGAUGAACAGCCACACUGGAACUGAGACACGGUCCAGACUCCUACGGGAGGCUG